AGUAUUAUGGGACAGUGUCAAAAUUGUUAAGAGAGUCAAGGAUACAAAGCAAGGGCUGUUACGAGAGUCUCUUGAAAUUAAGAAGAAAAAGAAGAACGGGAGCAUAAUAAACAACAACGAAUCCAGAGAGUUGCCACCAGCAUGGAUGUGUGCCAUAAAGGAGAUGUGCUGAUAGCGACAUGGUGCAGUAGAAUGGUCAUAACUUUUCUGUUCUGGGCGGACGGGCCGGUGCUUGAUGUCCGCGCGGAGCGCUGUCGUGGCGGUUUGCACUUGGAUCUUCUGACCUGUACCGUAUGGUUUGCUCUUGUUGCAUUUUAUGUUUUGUACACUACAUUUUUAUUUUUAUUUGUUUUGGUUUAUUUAUGCAUCUAAUGCAUUGGUUGGCACAUGUUGAUCC
RNAcentral lists this long non-coding RNA (397 nucleotides) under Androctonus crassicauda. The record is from RNAcentral. Lineage: Eukaryota; Metazoa; Arthropoda; Arachnida; Scorpiones; Buthidae.